Molecule: microRNA, 21 nt
Filed under: Ananas comosus (pineapple)
Lineage: Eukaryota; Viridiplantae; Streptophyta; Magnoliopsida; Poales; Bromeliaceae
Description: microRNA s0428_c56a
Source: RNAcentral
AUGACGUAUGACGGUCCCUCC